GACGAACGCUGGCGGCGUGCUUAACACAUGCAAGUCGAACGAAGAGCGAUGGAAGCUUGCUUCUAUCAAUCUUAGUGGCGAACGGGUGAGUAACGCGUAAUCAACCUGCCCUUCAGAGGGGGACAACAGUUGGAAACGACUGCUAAUACCGCAUACGACCUAAUCUCGGCAUCGAGGGUAGAUGAAAGGUGGCCUCUACAUGUAAGCUAUCACUGAAGGAGGGGAUUGCGUCUGAUUAGCUAGUUGGAGGGGUAACGGCCCACCAAGGCGAUGAUCAGUAGCCGGUCUGAGAGGAUGAACGGCCACAUUGGGACUGAGACACGGCCCAGACUCCUACGGGAGGCAGCAGUGGGGAAUCUUCCGCAAUGGACGAAAGUCUGACGGAGCAACGCCGCGUGAGCGAUGACGGCCUUCGGGUUGUAAAGCUCUGUUAAUCGGGACGAAAGGCCUUCUUGCGAAUAGUGAGAAGGAUUGACGGUACCGGAAUAGAAAGCCACGGCUAACUACGUG
RNAcentral lists this ribosomal RNA (510 nucleotides) under uncultured bacterium. RNAcentral's name for it is "partial 16S ribosomal RNA". It matches the Rfam family "Bacterial small subunit ribosomal RNA", at positions 28 to 507 of the family's 1533-position model. The record is from RNAcentral.